RNAcentral lists this transfer RNA (79 nucleotides) under Alienimonas californiensis. RNAcentral describes it as "Planctomycetes bacterium CA12 tRNA-Pro". Lineage: Bacteria; Pseudomonadati; Planctomycetota; Planctomycetia; Planctomycetales; Planctomycetaceae. The record is from RNAcentral.
GACGUGGUGGGCCGGCGUCUUGCCGCUGGGGUCGGCGAAGCGGAGGAGCAGUUUCUCGGUGCGAUCCUGCGCCACCUGA